RNAcentral lists this ribosomal RNA (798 nucleotides) under uncultured Porphyromonadaceae bacterium. Its description in RNAcentral is "bacterial SSU rRNA". It matches the Rfam family "Bacterial small subunit ribosomal RNA", at positions 8 to 795 of the family's 1533-position model. The record is from RNAcentral. Lineage: Bacteria; Pseudomonadati; Bacteroidota; Bacteroidia; Bacteroidales; Porphyromonadaceae.
AGAGUUUGAUUAUGGCUCAGGAUGAACGCUAGCGAUAGGCCUAACACAUGCAAGUCGAGGGGCAGCACAUGAAGUAGCAAUACGGAUGGUGGCGACCGGCGCACGGGUGAGUAACGCGUAUGCAACCUGCCUACAACAGGGGAAUAACCCGUUGAAAGACGGACUAAUACCCCAUAACACAGGGAUCCCGCAUGGGAAUAUUUGUUAAAGAUUUAUCGGUUGUAGAUGGGCAUGCGUUCCAUUAGCUGGUUGGUGAGGUAACGGCUCACCAAGGCAACGAUGGAUAGGGGAACUGAGAGGUUUAUCCCCCACACUGGUACUGGGGCACGGACCAGACUCCUACGGGAGGCAGCAGUGAGGAAUAUUGGUCAAUGGACGCAAGUCUGAACCAGCCACGUCGCGUGAAGGAAGACGGCCCUACGGGUUGUAAACUUCUUUUGUAAGGGAAUAAAGUGUAGUACGUGUACUAUUUUGCAUGUACCUUACGAAUAAGGAUCGGCUAACUCCGUGCCAGCAGCCGCGGUAAUACGGAGGAUCCGAGCGUUAUCCGGAUUUAUUGGGUUUAAAGGGUGCGCAGGCGGGAGAUUAAGUCGGCGGUGAAAUUUUGCAGCUCAACUGUAAAAGUGCCUUCGAAACUGGUUUCCUUGAGUGUGGAUGAAGUAGGCGGAAUUUGUGGUGUAGCGGUGAAAUGCAUAGAUAUCACGAGGAACUCCGAUUGCGCAGGCAGCUUACUAAACCAUAACUGACGCUCACGCACGAAGGCGUGGGGAUCAAACAGGAUUAGAUACCCUGGUAGUC